This 253-nucleotide ribosomal RNA is filed under the name uncultured bacterium. RNAcentral's name for it is "partial 16S ribosomal RNA". It matches the Rfam family "Bacterial small subunit ribosomal RNA", at positions 524 to 776 of the family's 1533-position model. The record is from RNAcentral.
UACGGAGGGGGCGAGCGUUGUCCGAAGUUACUGGGCGUAAAGCGCGCGUAGGCGGGUUGGUAAGUCCGCUGUGAAAGUCCGGGGCUCAACUCCGGAUCUGCGGUGGGUACGGGCAGACUAGAGUGAUGUAGGGGAGACUGGAAUUCCUGGUGUAGCGGUGAAAUGCGCAGAUAUCAGGAGGAACACCGAUGGCGAAGGCAGGUCUCUGGGCAUUAACUGACGCUGAGGAGCGAAAGCAUGGGGAGCGAACAGG